Molecule: ribosomal RNA, 532 nt
Filed under: uncultured bacterium
Lineage: Bacteria
Description: bacterial SSU rRNA
Rfam family: Bacterial small subunit ribosomal RNA
Source: RNAcentral
AGUAAGGAAUAUUGGUCAAUGGACGAAAGUCUGAACCAGCCAUGCCGCGUGAAGGAUGAAGGUCCUCUGGAUUGUAAACUUCUUUUAUAUGGGGCGAAAAAAGGCCUUUCUAGGUCGUCUGACGGUACCAUAUGAAUAAGCACCGGCUAACUCCGUGCCAGCAGCCGCGGUAAUACGGAGGGUGCAAGCGUUAUCCGGAUUCACUGGGUUUAAAGGGUGCGUAGGUGGGUUGGUAAGUCAGUGGUGAAAUCUCCGGGCUUAACUCGGAAACUGCCAUUGAUACUAUUAAUCUUGAAUACCGUGGAGGUUGGCGGAAUAUGUCAUGUAGCGGUGAAAUGCUUAGAUAUGACAUAGAACACCAAUUGCGAAGGCAGCUGGCUACACGGAUAUUGACACUGAGGCACGAAAGCGUGGGGAUCAAACAGGAUUAGAUACCCUGGUAGUCCACGCCCUAAACUAUGGAUACUCGACAUUUGCGAUAAACUGUAAGUGUCUGAGCGAAAGCAUUAAGUAUCCCACCUGGGAAGUACGA